GACGAACGCUGGCGGCGUGCCUAAUACAUGCAAGUUGAGCGCUGAAGGUUGGUACUUGUACCAACUGGAUGAGCAGCGAACGGGUGAGUAACGCGUGGGGAAUCUGCCUUUGAGCGGGGGACAACAUUUGGAAACGAAUGCUAAUACCGCAUAAAAACUUUAAACACAAGUUUUAAGUUUGAAAGAUGCAAUUGCAUCACUCAAAGAUGAUCCCGCGUUGUAUUAGCUAGUUGGUGAGGUAAAGGCUCACCAAGGCGAUGAUACAUAGCCGACCUGAGAGGGUGAUCGGCCACAUUGGGACUGGGACACGGCCCAAACUCCUACGGGAGGCAGCAGUAGGGAAUCUUCGGCAAUGGACGAAAGUCUAACCGAGCAACGCCGCGUGAGUGAAGAAGGUUUUCGGAUCGUAAAACUCUGUUGGUAGGGAAGAACGUUGGUGAGAGUGGAAAGCUCAUCAAGUGACGGUAACUACCCAGAAAGGGACGGCUAACUACGUG
This 497-nucleotide ribosomal RNA is filed under the name uncultured bacterium. RNAcentral's name for it is "partial 16S ribosomal RNA". It matches the Rfam family "Bacterial small subunit ribosomal RNA", at positions 28 to 507 of the family's 1533-position model. The record is from RNAcentral.